Molecule: small RNA, 492 nt
Filed under: Arabidopsis thaliana (thale cress)
Lineage: Eukaryota; Viridiplantae; Streptophyta; Magnoliopsida; Brassicales; Brassicaceae
Description: ATSL038790
Source: RNAcentral
CUUUAAGCUUCCGGAAUCCGGUUGCGGUUCUAGUUCUUAUGCCUAAUGAUACACAAACCAUCUUGUCAUAUUUGACUACAAAUCCGCUAACCAAGCUUCUUCUUGAUUCUCAAAGCUUUGAUAGUGAAGCCGAAGUUCUUAUGAGUUUUUGGUUUUGAAUCGUUUAACAAGGAAGCACUACUUUACUUUUCGCGAUCUAGUUGAGGUUCUAGUUUUAUAUUUAAUCAUACACAUGACAUCUAGUCAUAUUUCACUUUGAAACGCUAACCCAAAUUCUUCUUGCUUCUCUAAGUAUCAGAGUAUAUUUGAUCCUAAACCCUAAACCCUAAACCAUAUACCCCAAACUUUUAAACCUAAACCCUACUUUAGCUUGCGGAAUCCAGUUGCGGUUCUAGUUCUUAUACUCAAUGAUACACAAAGCAUCUAGUCAUAAUUGACUACAAAUACGCUAACCAAGCUUCUUGAUUCUCAAAGCUUUGAUGGUCAAGGCGA